AACGCGAAGAACCUUACCUACCCUUGACAUGUCUGGAAUCCUAAAGAGAUUUGGGAGUGCCCGAAAGGGAAUCAGAACACAGGUGCUGCAUGGCUGUCGUCAGCUCGUGUCGUGAGAUGUUGGGUUAAGUCCCGCAACGAGCGCAACCCUUGUCAUUAGUUGCUACGCAAGAGCACUCUAAUGAGACUGCCGGUGACAAACCGGAGGAAGGUGGGGAUGACGUCAAGUCCUCAUGGCCCUCAUGGGUAGGGCUUCACACGUCAUACAAUGGUCGGUACAGAGGGUUGCCAACCCGUGAGGGGGAGCUAAUCCCAGAAAGCCGAUCGUAGUCCGGAUCGUAGUCUGCAACUCGACUACGUGAAGUCGGAAUCGCUAGUAAUCGCGGAUCAGCAUGUCGCGGUGAAUACGUUCCCGGGUCUUGUACACACCG
Molecule: ribosomal RNA, 430 nt
Filed under: uncultured bacterium
Lineage: Bacteria
Description: bacterial SSU rRNA
Rfam family: Bacterial small subunit ribosomal RNA
Source: RNAcentral